CUAGAUUGAUGGCGAGUGGCGAACGGGUGAGUAAUACAUCGGAACGUGCCCUGUAGUGGGGGAUAACUAGUCGAAAGAUUAGCUAAUACCGCAUACGACCUGAGGGUGAAAGUGGGGGACCGCAAGGCCUCAUGCUAUAGGAGCGGCCGAUAUCUGAUUAGCUAGUUGGUGGGGUAAAGGCCCACCAAGGCGACGAUCAGUAGCUGGUCUGAGAGGACGAUCAGCCACACUGGGACUGAGACACGGCCCAGACUCCUACGGGAGGCAGCAGUGGGGAAUUUUGGACAAUGGGCGAAAGCCUGAUCCAGCAAUGCCGCGUGUGUGAAGAAGGCCUUCGGGUUGUAAAGCACUUUUGUCCGGAAAGAAAUGGCUCUGGUUAAUACCUGGGGUCGAUGACGGUACCGGAAGAAUAAGGACCGGCUAACUACGUGCCAGCAGCCGCGGUAAUACGUAGGGUCCAAGCGUUAAUCGGAAUUACUGGGCGUAAAGCGUGCGCAGGCGGUUGUGCAAGACCGAUGUGAAAUCCCCGAGCUUAACUUGGGAAUUGCAUUGGUGACUGCACGGCUAGAGUGUGUCAGAGGGGGGUAGAAUUCCACGUGUAGCAGUGAAAUGCGUAGAGAUGUGGAGGAAUACCGAUGGCGAAGGCAGCCCCCUGGGAUAACACUGACGCUCAUGCACGAAAGCGUGGGGAGCAAACAGGAUUAGAUACCCUGGUAGUCCACGCCCUAAACGAUGUCAACUAGUUGUUGGGGAUUCAUUUCCUUAGUAACGUAGCUAACGCGUGAAGUUGACCGCCUGGGGAGUACGGUCGCAAGAUUAAAACUCAAAGGAAUUGACGGGGACCCGCACAAGCGGUGGAUGAUGUGGAUUAAUUCGAUGCAACGCGAAAAACCUUACCUA
Molecule: ribosomal RNA, 900 nt
Filed under: uncultured bacterium
Lineage: Bacteria
Description: bacterial SSU rRNA
Rfam family: Bacterial small subunit ribosomal RNA
Source: RNAcentral